GACGAACGCUGGCGGCGUGCUUAACACAUGCAAGUCGAACGGAAAGGCCCUGCUUUUGUGGGGUGCUCGAGUGGCGAACGGGUGAGUAACACGUGAGUAACCUGCCCUUGACUUUGGGAUAACUUCAGGAAACUGGGGCUAAUACCGGAUAGGAGCUCCUGCUGCAUGGUGGGGGUUGGAAAGUUUCGGCGGUUGGGGAUGGACUCGCGGCUUAUCAGCUUGUUGGUGGGGUAGUGGCUUACCAAGGCUUUGACGGGUAGCCGGCCUGAGAGGGUGACCGGCAACAUGGGGAAGGAAAACCGACACGGCCUCAGAGGGGGGGCAGGGGGGGGGAAUGGUCAAGAAGGGGCGGAGGCGGAAUGCAGCAAGGCCGUGGGGGGGAGGAGGGCUUGGGGUUGGAAAACGGGUUCCGCCGGUAACGAAGGGGGAGUGAGGGUAAGGGAUAAAGAAGCACCGGCAAAUUACGUG
RNAcentral lists this ribosomal RNA (468 nucleotides) under uncultured bacterium. RNAcentral describes it as "partial 16S ribosomal RNA". It matches the Rfam family "Bacterial small subunit ribosomal RNA", at positions 28 to 507 of the family's 1533-position model. The record is from RNAcentral.